RNAcentral lists this long non-coding RNA (861 nucleotides) under Cyanistes caeruleus (blue tit). Its description in RNAcentral is "lncRNA (ENSCCEG00000014125.1)". The record is from RNAcentral. Lineage: Eukaryota; Metazoa; Chordata; Aves; Passeriformes; Paridae.
GUCUUAACUGCUGUUUGUAAAAUGGAAAAACAACCUGUCUAUGCAUUAAGAAGAAAAUACCUAAAUACCCACCUCCUCUCUGCUAAAAAUAAACUUAGAUCAAAAAUACUGCAGAAUAAGAAAUCUGAAUGGAUGAUUUUAGAAAUUGGACUGCCAGGGAGAAUUAAAAAAAACCUCAAACCACAAACCAAUGCCAGCAGUUCUUCUGAGACUAAAUCUUCUGAGAUUAAGAAACACAAAAUCUGAAUGAGCCCCUUUGGAAUCAAGGACAACAGGAUAUAGACCAGAGCAAAGGGCUGAGUCUGAGGAUGCUCUCUCCACUCACUUCAAACUCUUUAAUAAUUUUGAAAAAUGGAGCUGCACCAUCCUGUUUUUACUAUGAAAUUUACUCUGUAAACUUCUGCAUGCAGCUGGAGGAAAAAAAUAUCCUGUGCACAGGGCAAGGAAUCCUUUAACUAGAUAAUCUGAAAAAAGUAAAAAUAAGGUAAUCUGCAAUGUUCCCUGUGUAAAGCCAUUUCCUAUGAAGUCACAUGUUACAGCAUGUCUAUUAUUUUCUACCACUUUGCUUUAAAAAGCAUAAACUGAAUUUUUUUUAUCUACAAACUCUUCCUCUGAGCUGAACAUGUCUACGUUUGAGCAUAAGCAUUAUCUUUCUUCUGAGGAAAAGAACAGUAGUUUUCAGUGUUGCAUAUGCUAUCCUAAUGGCAAAUCUUUUAUGUGAUGAAUCUAGAUAAGGCAAUUAUAAAAAUUUGACAUAGCUCAUCAAACUUUUCAAACAUUGGUACUAUCAGUUGUAACUGGUUAAAUAGUACAUAAAAUGAGCCAGAACAUGAGAAGCCAACCUUUAAUUUUCCUUUCUCU